GCACAAGCAGCGGAGCGUGUGGUUAAUUCGAUGCAACACGAAGAACCUUACCAAGGCUUGACAUGACGGAAGUAGUGACCCGAAAGGUGAGCCACCUGUUAAGUCAGGAGCCGUCACAGGUGCUGCACGGCUGUCGUCAGCUCGUGCCGUGAGGUGUUAGGUUAAGUCCUGCAACGAGCGCAACCCCUGUUGUCAGUUGAUUUCUCUGGCAAGACUGCCUCGAAAACGGGAGGGGAAGGUGGGAUGACGUCAAGUCAGCAUGGCCCUUACGCCUUGGGCUACACACACGCUACAAUGGGUGGUACAAAAGGUGGCAAUAGAGUGAUCUGGAGCUAAUCCCAAAAGCCACCCUCAGUCCGGAUUGCAGGCUGAAACUCGCCUGCAUGAAGUUGGAGUUGCUAGUAACUGCAGGUCAGCAUACUGCGGUGAAUACGUUCUCGGGCCUU
RNAcentral lists this ribosomal RNA (446 nucleotides) under uncultured Chloroflexota bacterium. RNAcentral's name for it is "bacterial SSU rRNA". It matches the Rfam family "Bacterial small subunit ribosomal RNA", at positions 923 to 1382 of the family's 1533-position model. Lineage: Bacteria; Bacillati; Chloroflexota. The record is from RNAcentral.